GGAAGACCUGAUUCGACCUUGGUUCCCUGAGUUCUCUGAAGCCCGGGCCAUCAUGCUUUCCAGAGGCCUUGGUGGGGUUAUGCUUCCUCAUCUCUUCAGUCUGGGUCUUUCUAAGCUUCACCCUGACCGUUGUCAUCAGUCUACUCCUUUGGCUAUGGGCUGCUUUGUCUAGGAAUGGCCUAUAUUUCCUCCCAGAUGGGACCUGUACUGCAGGCAGCAAUCAGCAUCUUUGGCAUGGUUGGGGGACCGCUGCUGGGACUCUUCUGCCUUGGAAUGUUCUUUCCAUGUGCCAACCCUCCUGGUGCUGUUGUGGGCCUGUUGGCUGGACUCGUCAUGGCCUUCUGGAUCGGCAUCGGGAGCAUCGUGACCAGCAUGGGCUCCAGCAUGCCACCCUCUCCCUCUAAUGGGUCCAGCUUCUCCCUGCCCACCAAUCUAACCGUUGCCACUGUGACCACACUGAUGCCCUUGACUACCUUCUCCAAGCCCACAGGGCUGCGGCGGUUCUAUUCCUUGUCUUACUUAUGGUACAGUGCUCACAACUCCACCACAGUCAUUGUGGUGGGCUUGAUUGUCAGUCUACUCACUGGGAGAAUGCAAG
Molecule: small RNA, 598 nt
Filed under: Pongo abelii (Sumatran orangutan)
Lineage: Eukaryota; Metazoa; Chordata; Mammalia; Primates; Hominidae
Description: processed transcript
Source: RNAcentral